UACAGAGGUGGCAAGCGUUGUUCGGAAUUACUGGGCGUAAAGGGCGCGUAGGCGGCCAUCUAAGUCAGACGUGAAAUCCCCCGGCUUAACCUGGGAACUGCGUCUGAUACUGGAAGGCUUGAGUAUGGGAGAGGGAUGUAGAAUUCCAGGUGUAGCGGUGAAAUGCGUAGAUAUCUGGAGGAAUACCGGUGGCGAAGGCGGCAUCCUGGACCAUUAAUGACGCUGAGGCGCGAAAGCUAGGGGAGCAAACGGG
This 253-nucleotide ribosomal RNA is filed under the name uncultured bacterium. Its description in RNAcentral is "partial 16S ribosomal RNA". It matches the Rfam family "Bacterial small subunit ribosomal RNA", at positions 524 to 776 of the family's 1533-position model. The record is from RNAcentral.